Molecule: ribosomal RNA, 761 nt
Filed under: uncultured bacterium
Lineage: Bacteria
Description: bacterial SSU rRNA
Rfam family: Bacterial small subunit ribosomal RNA
Source: RNAcentral
AGGGAGGUUUGAUCCUUGGCUCAGAACGAACGCUGGCGGCGUGCUUAAGACAUGCAAGUCGAACGAGAAAGUCACCUUCGGGUGGCGAGUACAGUGGCGCACGGGUGAGUAACGCGUGGAUAAUCUGCCCUGGGGUCUGGAACAACAGCUGGAAACGGCUGCUAAUACCGGAUGAGCCCACGACUUCUUCGGGAGAUGUGGGAAAAGAUGGCCUCUUCUUGAAAGCUAUCGCCUGAGGAUGAGUCCGCGUCCCAUUAGCUUGUUGGUAGGGUAACGGCCUACCAAGGCAUCGAUGGGUAGCUGGUCUGAGAGGAUGAUCAGCCACACUGGGACUGAGACACGGCCCAGACUCCUACGGGAGGCAGCAGUCGGGAAUUUUGUCCAAUGGGCGCAAGCCUGAGACAGCAACGCCGCGUGAGGGAUGAAGGCCUUCGGGUCGUAAACCUCUGUCAGGGGGGAAGAAUGGGCCGCGAGCCAAUACCUCGCGGUUUUGACGGUACCCCCAAAGGAAGCGCCGGCUAACUCCGUGCCAGCAGCCGCGGUAAUACGGAGGGCGCAAGCGUUGUUCGGAAUUAUUGGGCGUAAAGCGGGUGUAGGCGGUCGAGAAAGUCGGAUGUGAAAUCCCCGGGCCCAACCCUGGAAUUGCAUUCGAAACUGCUCGACUAGAGUCUGGGAGAGGGUGGCGGAAUUCCCGGUGUAGAGGUGAAAUUCGUAGAUAUCGGGAGGAACACCAGUGGCGAAGGCGGCCACCUGGACGGUGA